Molecule: ribosomal RNA, 408 nt
Filed under: uncultured bacterium
Lineage: Bacteria
Description: bacterial SSU rRNA
Rfam family: Bacterial small subunit ribosomal RNA
Source: RNAcentral
UAGGGAAUAUUGGGCAAUGGGCGCAAGCCUGACCCAGCAACGCCGCGUGAGGGAAGAAGGUUUUCGGAUUGUAAACCUCUGUCCUAUGUGACGAAGGAAGUGACGGUAGCAUAGGAGGAAGCCCCGGCUAACUACGUGCCAGCAGCCGCGGUAAUACGUAGGGGGCGAGCGUUGUCCGGAAUUACUGGGCGUAAAGGGUGCGUAGGCGGUUUGGUAAGUUGGAUGUGAAAUACCCGGGCUUAACUUGGGGGCUGCAUCCAAUACUGCUGAACUUGAGUGCAGGAGAGGAAAGCGGAAUUCCUAGUGUAGCGGUGAAAUGCGUAGAUAUUAGGAGGAACACCGGUGGCGAAGGCGGCUUUCUGGACUGUAACUGACGCUGAGGCACGAAAGCGUGGGGAGCAAACAGGA